This 400-nucleotide ribosomal RNA is filed under the name uncultured bacterium. RNAcentral's name for it is "bacterial SSU rRNA". It matches the Rfam family "Bacterial small subunit ribosomal RNA", at positions 975 to 1375 of the family's 1533-position model. The record is from RNAcentral.
CAAGGUUUGACAUGCCGGUUACCGAUCUGAAAAGUGAGGGACCCUUCGGGGAGCCGGCACAGGUGGUGCAUGGUUGUCGUCAGCUCGUGCCGUGAGGUGUUGGGUUAAGUCCCGCAACGAGCGCAACCCUUAUCUUUAGUUGCCAGCACAUAAAGGUGGGCACUCUAGAGAGACUGCCGUCGACAAGGCGGAGGAAGGUGGGGAUGACGUCAAAUCAUCAUGCCCUUUAUAUCUUGGGCUACACACGUGCUACAAUGGCCGGUACAACGGGAAGCGAAAGCGCGAGCCGGAGCCAAUCCCAAAAAACCGGUCCCAGUUCGGAUUGCAGGCUGCAACUCGCCUGCAUGAAGUCGGAAUCGCUAGUAAUCGCAGGUCAGCAUACUGCGGUGAAUGCGUUCCC